RNAcentral lists this ribosomal RNA (253 nucleotides) under uncultured prokaryote. RNAcentral's name for it is "partial 16S ribosomal RNA". It matches the Rfam family "Bacterial small subunit ribosomal RNA", at positions 524 to 776 of the family's 1533-position model. The record is from RNAcentral.
GACAGAGGGUGCGAGCGUUGUUCGGAAUUACUGGGCGUAAAGCGCGCGCAGGCGGCUUUGCAAGUCGGGAGUGAAAUACCGGGGCUCAACCCCGGGGCGGCUUCCGAAACUGCAUGGCUAGGGACCGGUAGAGGCUGGUGGAAUUCCCGGUGUAGCGGUGGAAUGCGUAGAUAUCGGGAAGAACACCCGUGGCGAAGGCGGCCAGCUGGGCCGGGUCCGACGCUGAGGCGCGAAAGCGUGGGGAGCAAACAGG